This is a long non-coding RNA of Stegostoma tigrinum, 918 nucleotides long. RefSeq lists it as uncharacterized. Lineage: Eukaryota; Metazoa; Chordata; Chondrichthyes; Orectolobiformes; Stegostomatidae. The transcript is spliced from 4 exons. The record is from RefSeq and is a predicted model, not a curated record.
CAACAUUAUGAGGUUUAACCAUGGUGACUGCACAAUGACUUAGUGGUUAGCGCUGCUGCUGCACACUGCCAGGGACCUGAGUUCAAUUCCUGACUGAUGUGACUUGAAAGCUUUCUACAGAAGGGAACGCGAGGAGAAUCUGUCAGGGAAGGCCAGCUGUAACCCCGGGGUCCUAAUUCAAGGAUGAGGGUGUCGCUGACCAGGCAGCAUUUAUUGCCCAUUCCUAAUUGCCCAGAGGGCAGUUAAGAGUCAACCACGUUGCUGUGGGUCUGGGGUCACAAGUAGGCCAGACCAGAAUCCCUACAGUGAAGAAUCAAGCCAUUUGGCCCACUGAGUCCACAACGACCCUCUGAAGAGCAUCUCAUCUAGACUCACACACACCUCACGCCAACCUACCCUAUUCUUAUGGCCCUGUAAGUCCAAUGCCUACUCCACCCAGCCUGCACAUCCCUGAACACUAUGGGCAAUUUAGCAAGGCCAAUACAUCUAACCUGCACGUCAACGGAUGAUGGAAGGAAAUCGGAGCACACAGAGGCAACCCACACAGACACAGGGAGAUUGUGCAAAUUCCACACAGUCACCUGAUGGUGGAGUCAAACCAAGGUCCCUGGUGCCGUGACGUAGCAGUGUUAACCACUGAGCCUCUGUACCACUGAUGAGAUACCCAACUGAGGCCUCAACAGCACUCUAAAUAAAUGUUUAAGAAAAUGGUGUAUCAAAGAAGAGCAGGGGAAUUAUAACCAAUACUUAUUCUUGAUCAAUAUCACAAAAACAUAUUAUUUGGUCAUUAUUACAUUGCUGUUCAUGGAAGCUCAAUUUAUGCAAAUUUGUUGCUAUGUAGGCUACAAAUGUAACAAUAGCUAUAUUUCAGAAUUACUUCAUUGACCAUAAAGUGCAUUGGGACAUCCUGUAAAUGUG